CUGAGGGGAGCAUUAUGCUUUAGAAACCUAACUAGUUGAUGGUAGGUAUGAUGUUCUAUUGAGAAACUUGAGAAGGGCACUCCACCCCCACACAGGUUCCUCAAAUAAAGCUCCAUUUUAUCCUGAAGGGAGACUUGGAUUUUCUCCAGAAUCUUUAUAAAAAUUUUGCAAAAAGACUCAUCACCCUAAACCACCAAAUAUGGCACCAAUAGUUCUGAAGUGAACAAUUUUCAGAGAUACUCAGCCCCAGUCUGCCACAAAGUGCAAAUGCAGUGGGGGUCGUCCUCUCACUGGCCUCAGAGGACCUCUGGCCCAGCCCAGGUGGCUCAGAAGGGCCAGUGGGCACUGGGCCUGAGAAGACCCCCACCUGCUCACCCAACGGCAGCUCCUGCCAGCUCAGCUGGGCUGGGCCUGGGGUCCCUGGGUCACCACAUGGCCCCCUCCCACAGGGCCUUAGAGGCCACUUCUGCAUCUCUGGCACUUUCUGUUGGAGCAACACGGGUCCCUCCAUCGGGGGAUGGAUGCGGCCGCCAGUGUAUUCCCUUCCCUGAGAGUGGGGCCUCCCCAAGAGCUGACUCUGCACCUCCUCCUUAGCCCUCAUGGGGCCCCAAGACAUCUGAGAGUGUUGGGUGUAAGUGCGAAAUAAAGAAAUCCUCCCAGAAAAAAAAAAUUAUCGGCCUCAGAAAAGGAAAUCUCAAAAUGGCCCCAUGGGGUUACUAGUCACAGUUGGUUAAGAUUUUAUACAGAGAUGAUCUCAUUUGACCCCUAUGAAGACUCUGUAAGGUGAAAAUUAUUUUGUAACGAAUUUUAGCACCUCCCAUGCCCUUUAUGUGCAGUUUGACUUAUUGAAGUUUUUGGACUCUAAGGACAUGGAAGUAAUAAGACAUCCAAUGGACUGUCAGGACUCUGAGCUCAUUUGAGUCCUGCUAUGCUCAAUCUGGGAAGCUCAUACUGGUGUACAAUGCAGCAGUUUACAAAGCAAUCCCAAUGGGGUUGUGUACUAGCUGCUUGUUUGUUUGCAAGUGCAAUUCCAGAUGUUGAUUUUUCAUCUAGUCAUCC
Molecule: long non-coding RNA, 1059 nt
Filed under: Homo sapiens (human)
Lineage: Eukaryota; Metazoa; Chordata; Mammalia; Primates; Hominidae
Description: non-protein coding lnc-KCNH8-5:1
Source: RNAcentral